GCGCCCUUAGCUCAGUUGGAUAGAGCAACGACCUUCUAAGUCAUGGGCCGCAGGUUCGAAUCCUGCAGGGCGCGCCA
This 77-nucleotide transfer RNA is filed under the name Escherichia coli. Its description in RNAcentral is "tRNA-Arg". It matches the Rfam family "tRNA". Rfam says of the family: Transfer RNA (tRNA) molecules are approximately 80 nucleotides in length. The record is from RNAcentral. Lineage: Bacteria; Pseudomonadati; Pseudomonadota; Gammaproteobacteria; Enterobacterales; Enterobacteriaceae.